UUUGGGAUGGUGAUAACCCCGGGAAACUGGGGUCAAUAACCAAUAGAUAUGGAUGCCUGGAAUGGUUCCAUAUUGAAAUGUUUGUACACCCAUGUCGUGUACAUACACCCGAGGAUGGGGCUGCGGCCGAUCAGGCUGUUGGUGAGGUAACGGCUCACCAAACCUUUGACCGGUACGGGCCAUGAGAGUGGUAGCCCGGAGAUGGGCACUGAGACAAGGGCCCAGGCCCUACGGGGCGCAGCAGGUACGAAACCUCCACAAUUCACGCAAGUGAGAUGGGGUUACCUCGAGUGCCGCCUGAAUAAGGUGGCUUUUCCGCUGUGUAACAAGCUGUGGGAAUAAGGGGGGGGCAAGACUGAUGUCAGCCGCCGCGGUAUCACCAGCCCCCCGAGUGGUGGGGAUGUUUAUUUGGCCUAAAGCGUCCGUAGCCGGCUCUGUAAAUCUCUCGUUAAAUCCAUCGUCCUAAGCGUUGGGCUGCGAGAGAGACUGCAGAGCUAGAGGGCGGGAGAGGUCAGCGGUAUUUCUGGGGUAGGGGCGAAAUCCAUUGAUCCCAGGAGGACCACCAGUGGCGAAGGCUGCUGACUUGAACACGCCUGACGGUGAGGGACGAAAGCUGGGGUAGCGAAUCGGAUUAGAUACCCGAGUAGUCCCAGCCGUAAACGAUGCAGGCUAGGUGUUGGGUUGGCCAUGUGCCGACUCAGUGCCACAGGGAAGCCAUUAAGCCUGCCGCCUGGGGAGUACGGUCGCAAGGCUGAAACUUAAAGGAAUUGGCGGGAGAGCACCACCAGGCGUGAAGCCUGCGGUUU
RNAcentral lists this ribosomal RNA (806 nucleotides) under uncultured archaeon. Its description in RNAcentral is "bacterial SSU rRNA". It matches the Rfam family "Archaeal small subunit ribosomal RNA", at positions 114 to 903 of the family's 1478-position model. The record is from RNAcentral.